RNAcentral lists this ribosomal RNA (376 nucleotides) under uncultured bacterium. Its description in RNAcentral is "bacterial SSU rRNA". It matches the Rfam family "Bacterial small subunit ribosomal RNA", at positions 524 to 898 of the family's 1533-position model. The record is from RNAcentral.
UACGGAGGGUGCAAGCGUUGUUCGGAUUUACUGGGCGUAAAGGGCGCGUAGGCGGCUUGAUAAGUCAGUCGUGAAAGCCCGGGGCUCAACCCCGGAAGUGCGAUUGAAACUAUCAGGCUUGAGUAUGGUAGAGGGAAGUGGAAUUCCAGGUGUAGCGGUGAAAUGCGUAGAUAUCUGGAGGAACACCGGUGGCGAAGGCGACUUCCUGGACCAAUACUGACGCUGAUGCGCGAAGGUGUGGGGAGCAAACAGGAUUAGAUACCCUGGUAGUCCACACAGUAAACGGUGAUCACUAGGUGUUGCGGGUAUUGACCCCUGCAGUGCCGGAGUUAACACAAUAAGCACUCCGCCUGGGGAGUACGGCCGCAAGGUUGAA